ACUCAAAUGAAUUGACGGGGGCCCGCACAAGCGGCGGAGCAUGUGGCUUAAUUCGACGCAACGCGAAGAACCUUACCAAGGCUUGACAUACACCGGAAAGCAUUAGAGAUAGUGCCCCCCUUGUGGUCGGUGUACAGGUGGUGCAUGGCUGUCGUCAGCUCGUGUCGUGAGAUGUUGGGUUAAGUCCCGCAACGAGCGCAACCCUUGUCCCGUGUUGCCAGCAGGCCCUUGUGGUGCUGGGGACUCACGGGAGACCGCCGGGGUCAACUCGGAGGAAGGUGGGGACGACGUCAAGUCAUCAUGCCCCUUAUGUCUUGGGCUGCACACGUGCUACAAUGGCCGGUACAAUGAGCUGCGAUACCGUGAGGUGGAGCGAAUCUCAAAAAGCCGGUCUCAGUUCGGAUUGGGGUCUGCAACUCGACCCCAUGAAGUCGGAGUCGCUAGUAAUCGCAGAUCAGCAUUGCUGCGGUGAAUACGUUCCCGGGCCUUGUACACACCGCCCGU
This 504-nucleotide ribosomal RNA is filed under the name uncultured bacterium. RNAcentral describes it as "bacterial SSU rRNA". It matches the Rfam family "Bacterial small subunit ribosomal RNA", at positions 899 to 1397 of the family's 1533-position model. The record is from RNAcentral.